UACAGGGGGGGGCAAGCGUUGUUCGGAAUUACUGGGCGUAAAGGGCUCGUAGGCGGCCAACUAAGUCAGACGUGAAAUCCCUCGGCUUAACCGGGGAACUGCGUCUGAUACUGGAUGGCUUGAGAUUGGGAGAGGGAUGCGGAAUUCCAGGUGUAGCGGUGAAAUGCGUAGAUAUCGUAAGGAAGACCAGUGGCGAAGGCGGGUCUCUGGACAGUUCCUGACGCUGAGGCACGAAGGCCAGGGGAGCAAACGGG
Molecule: ribosomal RNA, 254 nt
Filed under: uncultured bacterium
Lineage: Bacteria
Description: partial 16S ribosomal RNA
Rfam family: Bacterial small subunit ribosomal RNA
Source: RNAcentral